Long non-coding RNA from Saccoglossus kowalevskii, 610 nucleotides. RefSeq lists it as uncharacterized. NCBI's taxonomy places the organism in Eukaryota, Metazoa, Hemichordata, Enteropneusta, Harrimaniidae. The record is from RefSeq and is a predicted model, not a curated record.
CACGAUACACAUAACAUACUCUGCGUCAAUUUAUACUUUCGUUUGAACUAAAUUCUACUAUAAAGCAUCAUUUCACUCCUACGGUGUACACUUUAUAUUGAAACAUUCGCAGAUCGAAGUCUUUUUUGUUUUAUAACCGGUUUGAUUGCUCCACACAGAUUGAAUCUUGUAAUGCGCUUUCCGUGGAAAACCAGAUAUCUGGGAUUGUUGCUUGUGAUCAGUGGCAUGAUUCUAAUUGACGCAACGCAGCCAUGGACGGAUAGUAAAUAUCACCCAGACUUUCCACAGAUACUAAAUAAUAUAGUUUAUAAAGCAUUUCGUAGAACACAGCGAGGCGGUCGUAGAAUGGCAAAUGGACAACUAGAAAGCUUAUUUGGAGCUCUUAGAAGAAAGAAUGGAUACCCACCUGGAACCCCAACUGUACCAAUAUCAAUAUUGAGAUACGUUAGGUAGCUUGUUUGGAGUCCCAUUCCAUAUCCGCCUGCUGUUUCUUUGGCGUGCGAUUAAGCAUAGCUUCUAUAUUGUCAUUUUAUUAUGUUCUUUCUUCAAUUUAAUGCAUAUGAAUAAAGUCAUUAAAGUGAGCCGUUAAUGGUACUUUCUAAUUCAUAAA